AUGCACUGGACCAAGCCCUGGUUUACUCACAUCCAGCCAGUAUUUAAGCCAAAGUACCACAGCUGCCAGAGUAAUACAGACUGUGACAUUACAAUAACUGGACAAGAGCAUCUGUACAAGGAUGAAGUCAACACAGGCAAUGAUACUGAUGCUUUUUGUUGCAUCAGUCUUUUCAAAACCAUUUCCUUUGCGCAGAGGAUCUGAUUCAUCAGACUCUGUGCAGUCAGGAUCCAGUUCAGAGGAAAAUGAUUAUUUGAAUCGCCGGUUUCCUUUGCGCAGAGGAUCUGAUUCAUCAGAGUCAAGAUCCAGUUCAGAGGAAAAUGAUUCAUCCAGGCAGGAUUCAAAUUCUGAAUCAAACGAGUCUAAAUCAAGUGAUUCUGAUUCUUCUGAGGAAGUCAUUGUGCCAAGAACACGCGCUCCAGCUAGGACCACAACAAAACCACCAACCAUCGCCACCACCACCCCU
This is a long non-coding RNA of Megalobrama amblycephala (Wuchang bream), 466 nucleotides long. RefSeq lists it as uncharacterized. The transcript has 3 exons. The record is from RefSeq and is a predicted model, not a curated record. NCBI's taxonomy places the organism in Eukaryota, Metazoa, Chordata, Actinopteri, Cypriniformes, Xenocyprididae.